UACAGAGGGUGCAAGCGUUGUUCGGAAUUAUUGGGCGUAAAGCGCGUGUAGGCGGUUUUGCAAGUCGGGUGUGAAAGCCCUCAGCUCAACUGAGGAAGUGCGCCCGAAACUGCAGAUCUUGAGUACCGGAGAGGGUGGCGGAAUUCCCCAAGUAGAGGUGAAAUUCGUAGGUAUGGGGAGGAACACCGGUGGCGAAGGCGGCCACCUGGACGGAUACUGACGCUGAGACGCGAAAGCGUGGGUAGCAAACAGG
Molecule: ribosomal RNA, 253 nt
Filed under: uncultured bacterium
Lineage: Bacteria
Description: partial 16S ribosomal RNA
Rfam family: Bacterial small subunit ribosomal RNA
Source: RNAcentral